AGGACGAACGCUGGCGGCGUGCUUAACACAUGCAAGUCACGGGGGGUCGCAAGACCAACCGGCGAACGGGUGCGUAACACGUGAGCGACCUGCCGAUUCGAGGGGGAUAGCCGGCCCAACGGCCGGGUAAUACCGCAUACGCUCUUUGGCCCGCAUGGGUUGGAGAGGAAACCUCCGGGGCGAAUCGAGGGGCUCGCGGCCUAUCAGCUAGUUGGCGGGGUAACGCCCACCAAGGCAAUGACGGUAGCUGGUCUGAGAGGAUGGCCAGCCACA
This 273-nucleotide ribosomal RNA is filed under the name uncultured soil bacterium. RNAcentral's name for it is "partial 16S ribosomal RNA". It matches the Rfam family "Bacterial small subunit ribosomal RNA", at positions 26 to 312 of the family's 1533-position model. The record is from RNAcentral.